This 641-nucleotide ribosomal RNA is filed under the name Natalobatrachus bonebergi (Natal diving frog). RNAcentral describes it as "partial 12S small subunit ribosomal RNA". It matches the Rfam family "Bacterial small subunit ribosomal RNA", at positions 441 to 1256 of the family's 1533-position model. The record is from RNAcentral. Lineage: Eukaryota; Metazoa; Chordata; Amphibia; Anura; Pyxicephalidae.
UAGUCUAAGGAGCUGGCAUCAGGCACAGACUUCUAGCCCACAACGCCUAGUUUCACCACACCCCCAAGGGUACCCAGCAGUGAUAAAUCUUGUUCAUAAGCGUCAGCUUGAUUUAGUUAAAGAAAAGAGAGCCGGCCAAUCCGGUGCCAGCCGCCGCGGUUACACCAGAGGGCUCAAGUUGAUAAAACACCGGCGUUAAGCGUGAUUAAAGAACAUCCUGAUUAGAGUUAAAUUUAAAUUUAGUAGUCAAAAGCUCAUUAUUUAGAAAGCCAAAAACGAAAGUUACUCUAACUUUGCUUGAAUACACGACAGCUAGGAUACAAACUGGGAUUUGAUACCCCACUAUGCCUUGCCGUAAACUAUUAACUCACAACAACCAGCGCCAGGGAAUUACGAGCCUAAGCUUAAAACCCAAAGGACUUGACGGUGUCCCACCCACCUAGAGGAGCCUGUUCUGUAAUCGAUAACCCCCGUUUAACCUCACCAUUUUUAGUAGACAGUUUGUAUAUCGCCGUCGUAAGUUUACCCUGUGAACGUCCUAGUAAGCGAAAUGAUCUAACCAUCAAGACGUCAGGUCAAGGUGCAGCUAAUGGAAUGGGAAGAAAUGGGCUACAAUUUCUAAAGUAGAACAAACGAAAGAA